Molecule: ribosomal RNA, 481 nt
Filed under: uncultured bacterium
Lineage: Bacteria
Description: partial 16S ribosomal RNA
Rfam family: Bacterial small subunit ribosomal RNA
Source: RNAcentral
GAUGAACGCUGGCGGCGUGCCUAACACAUGCAAGUCGAACGGAGAUUACGGACGGAAGUUUUCGGAUGGAAGACUGUACUUCUUAGUGGCGGACGGGUGAGUAACGCGUGGGCAACCUGCCCUAUACAGGGGGAUAGCAGCUGGAAACGGCUGGUAAGACCGCAUAAGUCGGCGAGACCGCAUGGUUUUGCCGGGAAAUGAGCAAUCAGGUAUAGGAUGGGCCCGCGUCCGAUUAGCCAGUUGGCAGGGUAAAAGCCUACCAAAGCAACGAUCGGUAGCCGGACUGAGAGGUCGGACGGCCACAUUGGGACUGAGACACGGCCCAAACUCCUACGGGAGGCAGCAGUGGGGGAUAUUGCACAAUGGAGGAAACUCUGAUGCAGCGACGCCGCGUGAGUGAAGAAGUAUUUCGGUAUGUAAAGCUCUAUCAGCAGGGAAGAUGAUGACGGUAUCUGACUAAGAAGCCCCGGCUAACUACGUG